Molecule: long non-coding RNA, 1050 nt
Organism: Symphalangus syndactylus (siamang)
Lineage: Eukaryota; Metazoa; Chordata; Mammalia; Primates; Hylobatidae
Source: RefSeq, a predicted model, not a curated record
CUGGGGGAAGGAUCCCUUCUCUCCCCAGUGCAGGGAGGCAGUAGGCUGCGGGCUUCCCAACCCAGGGGUGAAGAACAAAGAGAUAGGACAGCAGCACAAGGACCCAGCGUGCCUGCUUCCCGGCCCUGCGCUCGGCCGCUCCACAGAGAGGGCGACGCGCUGAAAACCUCCGGCCACACACCAGCAACCUCAGCAGCAGCUGCAGCCUCCUCCCCCGAGGACGGCUGGUGCAGGAGCAAGAAGAACAAACCCCGGUAACAACAGCCUCCGCUCUCACCUCCCAGGUGCUUCCCAGGAGCCAGGCUGAGGGCACCACAAGUUCGCUUCAGCCUCACGACCACCUCUGAGGCAGCCACUGUUACUACCCCCCGUUUUCAGAUGAGGUAACUGGGGCACAGAGAGGCGAGUGGACCUGCCCACAGUCGCACAGCUGGAAAGUGGCAGGGCCCAGCUUUUGGCCACUCACUAUGCCAGCCUAAAAGCUAACGUCCGCAUUGGCCAUCAAACAAAGAAAGGGACUCACCAGCUAGACGCAGGCACGCCCCAGGCCUACGGGUGCUCGUGAGCUCGAACGCGGUUGCUACUCGAAGGGAGAGCUGGGCUCGUGUGGGAGAAGAGUGGUCUCCCCGCCUCCGUGGGGUCCCGGGCCCGGCCUGGCAGCAGCUGCCCUGCACUGGCAGGAGUGGGCUGUGGGUGCCCUUCGGCACUCAAGGAAAAAACGCUUCCAGCGAUGCAAGCAGCUGCCUUUGCUGCGGCUCUGAUUCCCAGAGGAUCCCAAAGCUUUUCCUAUCAUUUUUGCCCUUUUUCAGAAACCACUUAGCCGCUGCCCCUCCUCCAGCCAUGCCAGGGCUGCAGAGCACUUACCAGAGCCAGCCAGAGCUGCAACCUCAGCUCUCAGGGAAGGAGGGUGCUGCUCGGCCUCCCAAACCUGUGGCUCCUGCGCCCGGAGGUCUGGGAAACGGCUCCACAAAUGCACAUUCACAGCCAGCGACGUCAAAACUAGUGUCCUGUAACUGUUCCGUUUUCAAAAUAAAGAAGGAAUGGAGGGUC